This 220-nucleotide long non-coding RNA is filed under the name Cervus elaphus hippelaphus. It matches the Rfam family "7SK RNA", at positions 1 to 235 of the family's 331-position model. Rfam says of the family: 7SK was discovered as an abundant small nuclear RNA in the mid-70s but a possible function has only recently been suggested. The record is from RNAcentral. Lineage: Eukaryota; Metazoa; Chordata; Mammalia; Artiodactyla; Cervidae.
GGACGUGAGGGCGAUCUGGUUAUGACAGCUGUCACCCCAGGGUUGAUUCGGCUAAUCUGGCUGGCCAGGCGGGUGUCCCCUUCUUCCCUCACCACUCCAUGUCUGUCCUGCCUGAAGCUAUGCCAUCAGUCAAAGAGGAUGACCAUCCACGAUAGAGAGGGACCGGUCUUCGGUCAAGAGUAUAAGCUGGACUCUCCUGCUAGUACCUCCAAACAAGCUC